AGAGUUUGAUCCUGGCUCAGAAUGAACGUUUAGCGGCGUGCCUGAUGCAUGCAAGUCGAACGGUUUGAUGGGUUCGCAAGGAUUAUCGGACAGUGGCGAACGGCUGAGUAACGCGUAAGUGAUCUACCUCUAAGUGGGGAAUAACCUGCCGAAAGGCAAGCUAAUACCGCAUAUGCUGGUGAGCGUAAGGUUUAUCAGUAAAGCCUUCGGGCGCUUAGAGAGGGGCUUGCGUCUGAUUAGCUAGUUGGUGGGGUAAUAGCCUACCAAGGCGAUGAUCAGUAGCUGGUCUGAGAGGACGACCAGCCAGACGGGGACUGAGAUACGGCCCUGACUCCUACGGGAGGCAGCAGCAAGGAAUUUUGCGCAAUGGGCGAAAGCCUGACGCAGCGACGCCGCGUGGGGACGAAGGCCUUUCGGGUUGUAAACCCUUUUUCUUGAAGAAGAACAAUGACGGUACUCAAGGAAUAAGUCUUGGCUAACUACGUGCCAGCCGCCGCGGUAAUA
This 504-nucleotide ribosomal RNA is filed under the name bacterium enrichment culture clone Cont358_3130. RNAcentral describes it as "bacterial SSU rRNA". It matches the Rfam family "Bacterial small subunit ribosomal RNA", at positions 8 to 525 of the family's 1533-position model. The record is from RNAcentral.